AGCACUUGUGUUUGUUUUUGUUAAGCUGUGAGCAAAGACUUAUAGACAGGUACAAAAUAAACCCUCUUUUGCAACCCAGAACUCAUUGUUUAGUAUGAGUUUUGAUACAGGUAAGAAGGAACAUG
This 125-nucleotide small nucleolar RNA is filed under the name Cervus elaphus hippelaphus. Its description in RNAcentral is "Small nucleolar RNA SNORA40". It matches the Rfam family "Small nucleolar RNA SNORA40". Rfam says of the family: The snoRNA ACA 40 belongs to the H/ACA family of snoRNAs and guides the pseudouridylation of 28S rRNA subunit at position U4565. NB This family has a high threshold value to exclude a large number of closely related sequences that do not appear to have conserved H and ACA boxes, and may be pseudogenes. Lineage: Eukaryota; Metazoa; Chordata; Mammalia; Artiodactyla; Cervidae. RNAcentral also lists the same sequence under 1 other name. The record is from Rfam by way of RNAcentral.